RNAcentral lists this non-coding RNA (21 nucleotides) under Caenorhabditis elegans. Lineage: Eukaryota; Metazoa; Nematoda; Chromadorea; Rhabditida; Rhabditidae. The record is from RNAcentral.
UUAAUUUGGAUUUUUUUGAUA